Molecule: long non-coding RNA, 310 nt
Filed under: Helianthus annuus (common sunflower)
Lineage: Eukaryota; Viridiplantae; Streptophyta; Magnoliopsida; Asterales; Asteraceae
Description: hypothetical non coding rna
Source: RNAcentral
UUGCCUCGAAGGUUAAGUGCCUCUGGUGUUCCAAUAUUCUCAAGCAUACCGUCGACAAGUGUGUCUACUCGACUAACAAAGAAAGAAGCAACACUAGUAACCCUGGAUAGGUCAUCAAGACCUGAAGCCUCUAAUCCAUCUAAAUAAGCAUCAAUAACUGCCUCGUAUCUAGAUAGAGAAAAUAUGAGCUUUACAUUAACACUUAUUCCCAAAGAAAUUACUUCUUUAACCGAAGGAACACAAGCUGCAGUUGCAGGGAUUUUAAUGUAAACAUUUGGGCGAUCAACCACUUUAUGCAACCAUUUUGCAG